UGGGGGAUAUUGCACAAUGGGCGAAAGCCUGAUGCAGCGACGCCGCGUGGGGGAUGAAGGCCUUCGGGUUGUAAACUUCUUUUGCUCUGAACAAGGCAUGCUAAUGGGUGUGUUGAGUGUAGGGGUUGAUUAGCGCCGGCUAACUACGUGCCAGCAGCCGCGGUAAUACGUAGGGCGCGAGCGUUGUCCGGAAUUAUUGGGCGUAAAGGGCUUGUAGGUGGCUGGUUGCGUCUGUCGUGAAAGCUCAUGGCUUAACUGUGGGUUUGCGGUGGGUACGGGCUGGCUUGAGUGCAGUAGGGGAGGCUGGAAUUCCGGGUGUAGCGGUGGAAUGCGCAGAUAUGAGGAGGAAUACCGGUGGCGAAGGCGGGUCUCUGGGCUGUUACUGACACUGAGGAGCGAAAGCAUGGGGAGCGAACAGG
RNAcentral lists this ribosomal RNA (419 nucleotides) under bacterium. RNAcentral describes it as "partial 16S ribosomal RNA". It matches the Rfam family "Bacterial small subunit ribosomal RNA", at positions 355 to 776 of the family's 1533-position model. The record is from RNAcentral.